AUUGAACGCUGGCGGCAGGCCUAACACAUGCAAGUCGAGCGGAUGAAGGGAGCUUGCUCCUGGAUUCAGCGGCGGACGGGUGAGUAAUGCCUAGGAAUCUGCCUGGUAGUGGGGGAUAACGUCCGGAAACGGGCGCUAAUACCGCAUACGUCCUGAGGGAGAAAGUGGGGGAUCUUCGGACCUCACGCUAUCAGAUGAGCCUAGGUCGGAUUAGCUAGUUGGUGGGGUAAAGGCCUACCAAGGCAACGAUCCGUAACUGGUCUGAGAGGAUGAUCAGUCACACUGGAACUGAGACACGGUCCAGACUCCUACGGGAGGCAGCAGUGGGGAAUAUUGGACAAUGGGCGAAAGCCUGAUCCAGCCAGGCCGCGUGUGUGAAGAAGGUCUUCGGAUUGUAAAGCACGUUAAGUUGGGAGGAAGGGCAGUAAGUUAAUACCUUGCUGUUUUGACGUUACCAACAGAAUAAGCACCGGCUAACUUCGUG
This 484-nucleotide ribosomal RNA is filed under the name uncultured bacterium. Its description in RNAcentral is "partial 16S ribosomal RNA". It matches the Rfam family "Bacterial small subunit ribosomal RNA", at positions 30 to 507 of the family's 1533-position model. The record is from RNAcentral.